This 440-nucleotide ribosomal RNA is filed under the name uncultured bacterium. Its description in RNAcentral is "partial 16S ribosomal RNA". It matches the Rfam family "Bacterial small subunit ribosomal RNA", at positions 338 to 795 of the family's 1533-position model. The record is from RNAcentral.
CCUACGGGAGGCAGCAGUGGGGGAUAUUGCACAAUGGGGGGAACCCUGAUGCAGCGACGCCGCGUGGGUGAAGAAGCGCCUCGGCGCGUAAAGCCCUGUCAGCCGGGGAGAAAAUGACGGUACCUGAAGGAGAAGCACCGGCUAACUACGUGCCAGCAGCCGCGGUACUGCGUAGGGGGCAGGGGUUAUCCGGAUUUACUGGGGGUAAAGGGGGCGCAGGCGGCGAUGAAAGCCAGGAGUGAAAGCCCGGGGCCCAACCCCGGGACUGCUGUUGGAACUGCGUGGCUGGAGUGCAGGAGGGGCAGGCGGAAUUCCUGGUGUAGCGGUGAAAUGCGUAGAUAUCAGGAGGAACACCGGUGGCGAAGGCGGCCUGCUGGACUGCAACUGACGUUGAGGCCCGAAAGCGUGGGGAGCAAACAGGAUUAGAUACCCCAGUAGUC